GUGUCAGCAGCCGCGGUAACACGUAGGGUGCGAGCGUUGUCCGGAAUUAUUGGGCGUAAAGAGCUCGUAGGCGGUGUGUCGCGUCGGCCGUGAAAACCUGCAGCUUAACUGUGGGCGUGCGGUCGAUACGGGCAUCACUGGAGUUCGGCAGGGGAGACUGGAAUUCCUGGUGUAGCGGUGAAAUGCGCAGAUAUCAGGAGGAACACCGGUGGCGAAGGCGGGUCUCUGGGCCGAUACUGACGCUGAGGAGCGAAAGCGUGGGGAGCGAACAGGAUUAGAUACCCUGGUAGUCCACGCCGUAAACGUUGGGCGCUAGGUGUGGGGACCAUUCCACGGUUUCUGUGCCGCAGCUAACGCAUUAAGCGCCCCGCCUGGGGAGUACGGCCGCAAGGCUAAA
RNAcentral lists this ribosomal RNA (397 nucleotides) under uncultured bacterium. Its description in RNAcentral is "bacterial SSU rRNA". It matches the Rfam family "Bacterial small subunit ribosomal RNA", at positions 505 to 898 of the family's 1533-position model. The record is from RNAcentral.